AAAAGGCAUUGUGGUUUUUG
This 20-nucleotide microRNA is filed under the name Homo sapiens (human). Its description in RNAcentral is "hsa-miR-548an". Its record names the gene hsa-miR-548an. The record is from miRBase by way of RNAcentral. Lineage: Eukaryota; Metazoa; Chordata; Mammalia; Primates; Hominidae.